Molecule: unclassified non-coding RNA, 205 nt
Filed under: Hevea brasiliensis (rubber tree)
Lineage: Eukaryota; Viridiplantae; Streptophyta; Magnoliopsida; Malpighiales; Euphorbiaceae
Source: RNAcentral
GAUCAUCUGGGUGAUGGGGAUGAUAAUGGGAUUGUUUUAGUUGCUUGCAAAGAUGAAUACUCAUGCAUGCAACUCGAAGAUUGCAUUACAAAUGGCUCACAAAAGGUCAUGUGUGAAGAGUGGGAAAAGUAUCUGUUGAGCAAGGUACAGCUGCAAGCAUUGCCAAAACGCAAUGCCAAGAAAGCUAAAGAGCCUAAAGGGUUUG